AGGGCACCACCAGGAGUGGAGCCUGUGGCUUAAUUUGACUCAACACGGGAAAUUUUACCAGGCCCAGACACUAGAAGGAUUGACAGAUUGAGAGCUCUUUCUUGAUUUGGUGGGUGGUGGUGCAUGGCCGUUCUUAGUUGGUGGAGUGAUUUGUCUGGUUAAUUCCGAUAACGAACGAGACUCUGGCCUACUAAAUAGACGGCGGAUCUUUGUGUCCGUCAUGUCUUCUUAGAGGGACAAGGCAGCUCCAAGCUGCGUGAAAUGGGGCAAUAACAGGUCUGUGAUGCCCUUAGAUGUUCUGGGCCGCACACGCGAUACACUGAAGGAGACAACGUGUUUGUCUGGCUCGAAAGGGUCGGGUAACCCGUUUAAUCUCCUUCGUGCUGGGGAUUGAGGUUUGUAAUUGUCCUUCAUGAACGAGGAAUUCCCAGUAAGUGCAAGCCAUAAGCUUGCGCUGACUACGUCCCUGCCCUUUGUACACACCGCCCGUCGCUACUACCGAUUGAAUGAUUUAGUGAG
This 519-nucleotide ribosomal RNA is filed under the name uncultured eukaryote. RNAcentral describes it as "SSU rRNA". It matches the Rfam family "Eukaryotic small subunit ribosomal RNA", at positions 1161 to 1705 of the family's 1831-position model. The record is from RNAcentral.